This 75-nucleotide antisense RNA is filed under the name Streptomyces acidiscabies. RNAcentral describes it as "ASpks TB sRNA". It matches the Rfam family "ASpks TB sRNA". The record is from Rfam by way of RNAcentral. Lineage: Bacteria; Bacillati; Actinomycetota; Actinomycetes; Kitasatosporales; Streptomycetaceae.
CUUCAGCGACCCCAGCCACAGCGGACGCCCCUCCGGCCGACCCUGCCCAUAAGUCGCCAACAGCGCCUGAGCCUC